AUAUUAUUCUAAUUAAAUCUUGAAAAUAGCUAUAUAUGCAAGCUAUAUACUAAUCUUAAUUAUUUCCUUAAUAGUAUAAGAUUAUAUAAGAAUAUACCCUACUUUUAAAACUUUUAUACCUUUACCUAUUGCUUAUUAGUUAGUAUAAGUAUUAAAUCCUUAUAUAUAAUAAAAGUAAAUAUAAAUAAAAGCUUUAGUAUAUUAUUAAUUAAUCUUAAUAUUCUUAGAUAGAUUUAAGUAAGAGUAUAUAAAACUAAACCUAAAAGAAGGUAAACUAUACUUAUAUAGAAUAAAGCUAGAGGAAACUUUAAUAAAGGCUUAUAGUAGUUUUAAUAUAUAAAUUAAUUAUUAAAUAUAAAUAUAAAAGUAAAAGACUAAUUAAACCUUUUAGUAAUUAGUUUUUACUAAAGUUUCUCUUAGAAUAGUAGUAUUAAUCUUAGUUUUAUAAAGUAAAGUAAAUAAUUAAGAACUUAAGAGUAUUAUUUAGCCUUUAUUUAUUCUUAAACUUUAAAUAUAUAAAAAGCCUUUAUUACUUAAUUAAAUAUAAGUAUUUAAAUAUAUUAAUACUAAUACACUAUUUUUAAUAAGUAAAAUUAGUAAUAUAGAAUAAACUAAAUAUAAGGUUAAGAUACUAAAGUAAAUACUUAUUAAAUACUAUAAAAGGUAUUAAUAUAUCUUAAUAGUAGGAUAAUAGCUAUAAAAGUUAGAAUCUACUAAGGAUUAUAUAAUAACUUACUUAUUAAAUAUACUAGCCCUAAAAAUAAAUAGUACUUAAGUAUCUUAUUUAUACUUUACUCUUAAGGUAGAAAUAAUACCUUAAGAAGUAAAUAAAUAUAAAGAUUAGUAAUAAAGCCUAAAGUAUAAGCCUAAGUUAAAUAGCCUUUAGUAUAAAUUUUAAUAAUAGUAAUAAAUACUUUAAUAAGAACUUAAAGGACUAAAGUAAGGAAAGGUUUUAUAUAAAUAGUAAUUAAAUAUAAAUUAGUUAAUCCUAAGCUAUAAGAAAGUUCUAUUUUAAAGGUAUACUUUAUACUAUUUAGUAAAAGGGGAGCUAGUUAAUAUUCUAGUACCUAAAUAUAGGUUUUAUAUAAUAAUAUAACUAAAUAUAAAAAUAAUAGUAAGAGCCUUAAGUAGAGUUCUCUUUUCUUCUUAAUAGUCUAUUACCCUAAAAUUAGUUUAUUUAAAGCUAGGGUUUAAUAGCUAGAAGAGCUUAGUAUUUUUAUUAAGUUUAGUAUACUCUUAAUAUCCCUUAAAAAUCUAUAGAAAGGAAUAAUUCUUAUAUUAAGUUAUACUUAUAACUAUAAUAAAUCUCUAAGAUAAAUAGCCUUUAAUUAAUAGAAUAAUAUAAAUAAGGAAAGUUAGUAAAAUAAAUCUAUAACUUUAAGAUAAGGAUUAACUCUAAGGGUUAGGUAUAUUAAGCUUUAAAUAAAUACCUUAGGAGUAAGUAGCUACUAGCUAGGUAACUAGCUAGUAAUAGCUAGUAUUUAAGUAUUAAUAUUCUUAGUAAGCUUUAGCUAUUUAGUAUAUAAUUAAUAAUUAACUUAAAACUAAUAUAAAUAAAGAGAAUCUAAUUAUCUAAUUAAAAUAUAGUAUUAUAAUAGCUAGAAAGUAGUAUUAAUAUAAUAUAAUUUUUACCUAAUACUUUAAAUAUUAAAAUAAAGUAAUUUAACUAAGUAUAAAUAAAUAAUAAGAGUAACUAUAACUCUCUUAAGGUAGCUAAAUACCUUAUUAUCUAAUUAAUAAUAUAUAUAAAUAGAUUAAUAAGAUUCUUACUAUUCCUAUUUACUAUUUAGUAAAACUAUAGCUAAGAGAAUAAGCUUAGUAAAAUUAGUAAGGAAAGAAAACCCUAUUAAGCUUAACUUUAGUUUAAUAUUAUAAAAAGAUAUAAAAAGUAUAGAAUAAGUAAGAACUUUAAUAUUAAUAAAAUAUUAUUACUCUUAUUAUUUUUUUACUUAUUUAAUAAAGUAAGGCUAGAUUUAUAUUUAACUUUUAGUUUUAAGGUCUUUUAUAAGCUAACCUAAGUUAAAGAUAUUAUUAAGUAAGGAGUUUAGCUAGGGUAAUAUAUUUAUUAAACUAUAAUAUAAAUAUCUUAAGGAAGGCUUAUAGAAAAUAGAAAUCUCUAGUAGAAUAAAAAAGUAAAAGUUCCCUUAAUUUUAAUUUUUAGUAUAAAUAUAAACUAUAAAAGUAUAGCCUAUUAAUCCUUUAAUCCCUUAAUAUUUAAGGCUAAAGGUAUUAGAAAAGUUACUAUAAAAAUAACUAGCUUAUAGUAGCUAAGUAUUUAUAAUAAUAUUACUUUUUAAUCCUUUAAUAUUAGCUUUUCUUAUUAUACUAAAGUAAAAUUUAGUAAGUAUUAAAUUAUUUACUUACUAAACCUUUUAUUAAUAGGAAUAGUUAAGUUAUCUAAGCUUAUAAUUAAGUAACUAUACUAACUAAUUAACUAUAGUAUAAAUCUAUAAGAGUUAUAUAGUAAUAUAACCUAGAUUAAGGAAAGCUAAUAUAUUAUCUAUAAUACUAUACUAAUCUUAAAUAAAGCUAUAAUAUAGUAAUAUAUAUUAUAAUAAUUUAUAUAAAGUAUAGAAAGGUAUAAGUAAAUCUUACUAAGAAUUACUUAAAGGAUAUACUAAACCCUUAAGAAACUAAGCUUAUUAUUAAAGUACUUAUAGUAUAAAAAUAGUAAGGGGUAAACUAAUACUAUAGUAUUAAUAAGCCCUUAAAGUAAAUAUUAAAGAUAAGCUUAGUAUAACUUAAAGAAGGCUUUUAAAAGCUAUUAAAAUCCUCUAAGGAUUAAAUAGAGAAUAUAAGCUAGGUUUAGAUUAUUAUAAAAUAGGUUAGUUUUACCCUAUUAAUAAACUUACUAUAAUAGUAAUUAAGCUUAGUAUAAAAAGAAC
Molecule: ribosomal RNA, 2885 nt
Filed under: Neonectria punicea
Lineage: Eukaryota; Fungi; Ascomycota; Sordariomycetes; Hypocreales; Nectriaceae
Description: eukaryotic LSU rRNA
Rfam family: Eukaryotic large subunit ribosomal RNA (bases 1-2441)
Source: RNAcentral